ACAUCCAGCGAACUUGGCAGAGAUGCCUUGGUGCCUUCGGGAACGCUGAGACAGGUGCUGCAUGGCUGUCGUCAGCUCGUGUUGUGAAAUGUUGGGUUAAGUCCCGCAACGAGCGCAACCCUUAUCCUUUGUUGCCAGCGAUUCGGUCGGGAACUCAAAGGAGACUGCCGGUGAUAAACCGGAGGAAGGUGGGGAUGACGUCAAGUCAUCAUGGCCCUUACGAGUAGGGCUACACACGUGCUACAAUGGCGCAUACAAAGAGAAGCGACCUCGCGAGAGCAAGCGGGACCUCAUAAAGUGCGUCGUAGUCCGGAUCGGAGUCUGCAACUCGACUCCGUGAAGUCGGAAUCGCUAGUAAUCGUGGAUCAGAAUGCCACGGUGAAUACGUUCCCGGGCCUUGUACACACCGCCCGUCACACCAUGGGAGUGGGUUGCAAAAGAAGUAGGUAGCUUAACCUUCGGGAGGGCGCUUACCACUUUGUGAUUCAUGACUGGGGUGAAGUCGUAACAAGGUAGGCGUAGCGAG
RNAcentral lists this ribosomal RNA (526 nucleotides) under uncultured bacterium. RNAcentral's name for it is "bacterial SSU rRNA". It matches the Rfam family "Bacterial small subunit ribosomal RNA", at positions 984 to 1509 of the family's 1533-position model. The record is from RNAcentral.